This 492-nucleotide ribosomal RNA is filed under the name uncultured bacterium. RNAcentral's name for it is "partial 16S ribosomal RNA". It matches the Rfam family "Bacterial small subunit ribosomal RNA", at positions 29 to 507 of the family's 1533-position model. The record is from RNAcentral.
AGUGAACGCUGGCGGUAGGCCUAACACAUGCAAGUCGAACGGCAGCACAGUAAGAGCUUGCUCUUACGGGUGGCGAGUGGCGGACGGGUGAGGAAUACAUCGGAAUCUACUUUUUCGUGGGGGAUAACGUAGGGAAACUUACGCUAAUACCGCAUACGACCUACGGGUGAAAGCAGGGGAUCUUCGGACCUUGCGCGAUUGAAUGAGCCGAUGUCGGAUUAGCUAGUUGGCGGGGUAAAGGCCCACCAAGGCGACUAUCCGUAGCUGGUCUGAGAGGAUGAUCAGACACACUGGAACUGAGACACGGUCCAGACUCCUAAGGGAGGCAGCAGUGGGGAAUAUUGGACAAUGGGCGCAAGCCUGAUCCAGCCAUACCGCGUGGGUGAAGAAGGCCUUCGGGUUGUAAAGCCCUUUUGUUGGGAAAGAAAAGCAGCAGGUUAAUACCCCGCUGUUCUGACGGUACCCAAAGAAUAAGCACCGGCUAACUUCGUG